AUGCGUUGAGCUAACCGGUAAUAAUGAACCGUGGGGCGUAACCUUACAAAGCCGAAG
Molecule: ribosomal RNA, 57 nt
Filed under: Salmonella enterica subsp. enterica serovar Schwarzengrund
Lineage: Bacteria; Pseudomonadati; Pseudomonadota; Gammaproteobacteria; Enterobacterales; Enterobacteriaceae
Description: partial 23S ribosomal RNA
Source: RNAcentral